CUACGGGUCGCAGCAGCAGCGAAUCAUUUACAAUGCACGCAAGUGUGAUAAUGCGAACCAAAGUGCUUUUCUUUUUGAAAAGCUUUUGUUCAUUCUAAAAAGAUGGACGAAUAAGGACCGGGCAAGACUGGUGCCAGCCGCCGCGGUAAUCCCAGCGGUUCAAGUUGCAUCCAAUUUUAUUGGGUCUAAAACAUCCGUAGCUUGUUAUUUAAGUCUCUUGUGAAAUCCUGUGUCUCAAGCACUGGGCUUGCGGGAGAUACUGAAUAGCUAGAGAUCGGUAGACGUAAGGAGUACGCCGAAGGUAGCGGUUAAAUGUGUUAAUCUUCGACGGACUGACAAUGGGCGAAGGCACCUUACGAGGACGAAUCUGACAGUCAGGGAUGAAGGCCAGGGGCGCAAAACGGAUUAGAUACCCGGGUAGUC
RNAcentral lists this ribosomal RNA (423 nucleotides) under uncultured archaeon. Its description in RNAcentral is "partial 16S ribosomal RNA". It matches the Rfam family "Archaeal small subunit ribosomal RNA", at positions 323 to 746 of the family's 1478-position model. The record is from RNAcentral.